Long non-coding RNA from Canis lupus familiaris (dog), 1128 nucleotides. RefSeq lists it as uncharacterized. NCBI's taxonomy places the organism in Eukaryota, Metazoa, Chordata, Mammalia, Carnivora, Canidae. The record is from RefSeq and is a predicted model, not a curated record. The transcript has 2 exons.
CGGGCCGCGGCCGGCCCCUCCCCCCGCCCUUCCUCCAGCGCGCUCCUGGCGCCACGUCGAGUUCUCAGCCCUGACUGGGGCGAGGGGACGAGCAAGGCCUCAGGGACGCGGGGCUGCGAUAAGUCGCUUUUCUUUUGUUUUUAGGCGUCAAUGCAGUGGAAGAAGGAAUUGUUCCAAGACACGUAAAUCGAGACUCCCCGGUGCCGUCUGCAAACGUAGCAGCCUCCCUCCGCUGUUCUGCACCUUUCAGGCGCUUCACCGAGCUCUUCUCCUACUCCUGAUGCUUCUGUCUUUCACUCUUUCCACCGAUCUUACGGUCUGUUUUCUAGCUGAGAACCGUUUCACUCCAGAGAACCAUAAAAUUAAAGCCGAGUCAAAGGACAUUGGUUGCCACGCUCAGGAUCACCAAACCAGCUGGCCACAAAGGGAGUCCCUGGACACUCAUCCCUGAGCUGUUACCAAGCUCAUUCACUGGUAUGGACACGUGAUAGGCCCUAUCAAGGGCACAUAGAAAAUAAACCCGCUCUUAUUAUACAAUUUCUGAUUUACAUUAAAAAAAAAAAAGAUUUUAAGUAAUCUCUACACCCGACCUGGGCUGGAACUCACCACCCCAAAAUCAAGCAGUACUGGUUCCACCAACUGAGCCAGCCAGGAAAUCCCUGUUUUAAAAUUUAUAGCUCCUCAGUUUAGGGUGAAAGCCUUACAGGCAGAAAUCGUGUUUAUAUGCCUACUCCUCUGAACAUUCUGGAACAGAAGGAGAACACAGGCAGACUAUAAUGGCGGACAGGAGCCAGCCUUCCUUCUAUUCCUUUCAGGGCAGGGUGCACAGCCUCUUAUUGCUAUUUGGGUGUGGUGGGCCCUUGACAGAAGGUUAAGAUUUAAUUCAAAUCAUACGGAAUGCAUAAAAGUCACCAAGUCUCCAAAAGACUGUUUUUUUUUUUAAUUUAUCUUGAGACUCCAGCAAACUUAAACAUACGGAUCUGUGCAAUAGCCAGUUUGCUUCAAGCUCCAGAAAUUUACACCGAUGUUAUCAUAAAAAUGAAGUUAUUAGAAGUCGUGGUUUGCUAUCUGAGGAAUGUGGAGCCAAUUCUGGCAGUAUAAAGGAACUUUUUAAUCUCUUGGUGCAAA